RNAcentral lists this transfer RNA (73 nucleotides) under Ovis aries (sheep). It matches the Rfam family "tRNA". Rfam says of the family: Transfer RNA (tRNA) molecules are approximately 80 nucleotides in length. Their secondary structure includes four short double-helical elements and three loops (D, anti-codon, and T loops). Further hydrogen bonds mediate the characteristic L-shaped molecular structure. tRNAs have two regions of fundamental functional importance: the anti-codon, which is responsible for specific mRNA codon recognition, and the 3' end, to which the tRNAs corresponding amino acid is attached (by aminoacyl-tRNA synthetases). tRNAs cope with the degeneracy of the genetic code in two manners: having more than one tRNA (with a specific anti-codon) for a particular amino acid; and 'wobble' base-pairing, i.e. permitting non-standard base-pairing at the 3rd anti-codon position. The record is from Rfam by way of RNAcentral. Lineage: Eukaryota; Metazoa; Chordata; Mammalia; Artiodactyla; Bovidae.
UCCCUUUUAGUCCAGUUGUUAGGACUUGGUAUUGUCACAGCCAUGGCCCAGGGUUCAAUUCCUGGUUGGGGAA